UACGGAGGGUGCGAGCGUUGUCCGGAAUCACUGGGCGUAAAGGGUGCGUAGGCGGGUCUUUAAGUCAGGGGUGAAAUCCUGGAGCUCAACUCCAGAACUGCCUUUGAUACUGAAGAUCUUGAGUUCGGGAGAGGUGAGUGGAACUGCGAGUGUAGAGGUGAAAUUCGUAGAUAUUCGCAAGAACACCAGUGGCGAAGGCGGCUCACUGGCCCGAUACUGACGCUGAUGCACGAAAGCGUGGGGAGCAAACAGG
Molecule: ribosomal RNA, 253 nt
Filed under: uncultured bacterium
Lineage: Bacteria
Description: partial 16S ribosomal RNA
Rfam family: Bacterial small subunit ribosomal RNA
Source: RNAcentral